This is a ribosomal RNA of 1699 nucleotides. The stretch from base 97 to 1620 matches the Rfam family "Bacterial large subunit ribosomal RNA".
UGCUUAACAGCUAGCCCCCUCUACCAAGAACAACAACUCAAUAUUAAUAACCCCCAAUUUACUAUUAACCUCUAAACAAACCAUUUUUCCCCCCAAGUAUGGGCGACAGAAAAGGGCCACAGGAGCGAUAGAGAAAGUACCGCAAGGGAACGCUGAAAGAGAAAUGAAAAAACCCAGUAAAGCUUAAAAAAGCAGAGGCUAACCCUCGUACCUUUUGCAUCAUGAUUUAGCCAGUGUUGACCAAGCAAAAUGAAUUUUAGUUUGACAGCCCGAAACUAAGUGAGCUACUCCAAGACAGCCUAUUAAUAGGGCCAACCCGUCUCUGUGGCAAAAGAGUGGGAAGAGCUUCGAGUAGAGGUGAUAGACCUACCGAACCUAGUUAUAGCUGGUUGCCUGAGAAUUGAAUAGAAGUUCAGCCUCCCGGGUUCUUUUUUCACUACGGAAUAACCCCUCCCUGAUAACCCUUUAAGAAACCGCGAGAGUUAGUCGAAGGGGGUACAGCCCCUUUGAACCAAGACACAACUUUUAUAGGAGGUUAAAGAUCAUACCAAAUUAAAGGCAUAAUGUUUUGGUGGGCCUAAAAGCAGCCAUCCCUACAGAAAGCGUUAAAGCUCAGACAUAUAGUAAAACCCUACUUAUAAUGAUCAUAAAAUCUUAUACCCCUAGUACUACCAGGCCGUUCCAUGCCCCCAUGGAAGCGACUAUGCUAAUAUGAGUAAUAAGAGAGCUCCGCCUCUCUCCCUGCACACGUGUAAGUCGGAACGGACUCCCCGCCGACCCUUAACGGCCCCAAAUAAAGAGGGUAAUGAAUUAUGGUAUAGACAACUAGAAAAACCUCCAACAACACAACCGUUAACCCCACACAGGUGUGCCCCCCGGGAAAGACUAAAAGAAAGAGAAGGAACUCGGCAAACACAUUUAAAGCCUCGCCUGUUUACCAAAAACAUCGCCUCUUGCAAAAAUAACAAAUAAGAGGUCCCGCCUGCCCUGUGACUAUAAGUUUAACGGCCGCGGUAUUUUGACCGUGCGAAGGUAGCGCAAUCACUUGUCUUUUAAAUGAAGACCUGUAUGAAUGGCAUAACGAGGGCUUAACUGUCUCCUCUUUCAAGUCAAUGAAAUUGAUCUCCCCGUGCAGAAGCGGGGAUAACCUCAUAAGACGAGAAGACCCUAUGGAGCUUUAGACACCAAAGGAGAUCAUGUUUAAACACCCUUCAAUAAUAGGCUAAACCAAAUGAAUCCUCCCCUAAUGUCUUUGGUUGGGGCGACCGCGGGGAAAGAAAAAACCCCCAUGUGGAAUGGGAGAACCCCUCCUAAAACUAAGAGCUUCUGCUCUAAGUAACAGAACAUCUGACCAGCAAGAUCCGGCAAUGCCGAUCAACGGACCGAGUUACCCUAGGGAUAACAGCGCAAUCCCCUUUUAGAGCCCAUAUCGACAAGGGGGUUUACGACCUCGAUGUUGGAUCAGGACAUCCUAAUGGUGCAGCCGCUAUUAAGGGUUCGUUUGUUCAACGAUUAAAGUCCUACGUGAUCUGAGUUCAGACCGGAGUAAUCCAGGUCAGUUUCUAUCUAUGAUAUGAUCUUUUCUAGUACGAAAGGACCGAAAAGAAGAGGCCCAUACCUCAGGCACGCCUCACCCCCACCUAAUGAAGACAACUAAAAUAGGCAACUGGGCAUGCCCCGCCGCCUAAGAAAACGGCAU